UAAUAUUUUUUUUACUAUAUUUAUUAAUAGUUUUAGUUUAGUUUAGAGGAUGGCGCAGUCAAGAUGGACCAAUAGGACCCAUAUUAUCCCAAAAUGAUACAUUAUGUUAUCAUUAUAUAGAUGU
Limulus polyphemus (Atlantic horseshoe crab) is the source of this 124-nucleotide long non-coding RNA. RefSeq lists it as uncharacterized. The record is from RefSeq and is a predicted model, not a curated record. Lineage: Eukaryota; Metazoa; Arthropoda; Merostomata; Xiphosura; Limulidae. The transcript has 3 exons.